Micropterus salmoides (largemouth bass) is the source of this 1820-nucleotide long non-coding RNA. RefSeq lists it as uncharacterized. The transcript is spliced from 3 exons. The record is from RefSeq and is a predicted model, not a curated record. Lineage: Eukaryota; Metazoa; Chordata; Actinopteri; Centrarchiformes; Centrarchidae.
AUCCGUUUUUAUAGAUAUUAGUGUAGGCUAUGUUAACUGUUACUGGGUAACGUUAAACUUACACCAGACAUUCCAUAGUAUUGCAUAUUAACGCUAGCAUUUAAAAAUAGUUGAAUUAACAUUAUUAUAAUUGUAGGAUAACCUGUGCAUAAAGUGCAUGUUUCUAAAAUGCUUUUGCUGUUACUUUACAAGAAAAGUAAAAGUCUGGACAUUUAGUAUUUGAAAAGACAUAUUUUCUAAAAUGAUAUUCAAGCCUACAACGUUAAAUCUUUUGGGGAUGAUUAAUGUUAGGCCUUAUUUCCGGGGCUUUUAUCAUUUGAAUUGAAAGUGUUUCACAAAAGGCGCCUAAAACAACAGGUAACUUAAUGGUUACACCAGCUGGCGGCGCUGCAGUCUCAUUGACCUCCUUCUGGAGGAAGAUACAGUGUCUUACAAACUUUGUUUCAACUUCCAAUAUGUCCUACAUCUUCUUCGUACUUGUCAUAUUUUUGUCCCUUUACCAUACAUUAUUUUAUUUACAUAGUCAAUCGGCACAAACAGUGGAAUUAAAGAUAACCUUAGAGUGCUAUGUCAGUUAAUUCAUAUUCAUCAUUUAAUUUAUUUGUUUAGGUUAACGUUCGUACUUCGGGUGAAUAUUUUGACUUGUGAUGAAUCUGACUGGUAAAAACAGUUGAUUUAUCUUGAACUGUGACUUCAUUGCUGCGGUUCUGUUGUCAUGACAAUAAGCCACUAUGUUACGCCAUCUCAUUUAAAAAUCGUGCAAGUUUUUGAUUAUCCUCUUAAUGAACAAGAUUAACAGAAGCGGCCAUUCAGCAAAAGUACCGAAGGCUACAAACUAUAUAUUUAACAAAACAUAUAGGCAUAUAAUCUCAGAUUUUCAAGAUUAUUAAAAGCGGCAACGUGAAGCACCUUUGAGACAAAGCACAAAUUAGCACAAGUAGGACAAUGAAAUUAGGUAAAACCUCCUUACCUGUCAUUUGACAGAAUACAAUGUGACUAGAUUAAUGUGCAGAUUUUACUUCUGGCACAGGCCAUUUCAAUUAAAGUAGAGACUUAGAAUUCAGAAUGUACUGAGAGCAGAACAUAGAAUUUACUUAAUAGUUUUUCUUUUAUUAUGAUUGUUCAACCCAAGAUUGUGGAGGUUGUGCAAAGAGUCGUAACAUUGUGUCUAGCGGAACCUAAUGUAGUUACAAGGAACCUGUUGACAAAGCUUAUUAAAGUAAAUGUUAGUAUUUUAACUGCAUUGCCAGAAUUCAGUCGGAAAUACAGUAGACCUACACCUUUGAAGGACUGCAGUAUAAGUAAUGUUAAUGUUUGUGAGUUGUUACAGUUCAUCAUAUUUUCCGUGUGUAUUUUCAACUAUUCUGUAGAUUCCAAACAUUCAGACGAGAGGAGGGUGGCGGACCAGCCCGGAGACGCAGAUGUAGCACAAGACGACAAAUAACCUUCAGAGUGUCUGUGCUGAGGAGCAGCACAUUGACCUGUUACAGGUCUCAUAGGGAUGCUACUCCUCCCUGUCGGGUCGUCGUCCCUUUAGACCUUGACGAACAGGAGUUUGUUCAAGUCCUUCAAGAAAACAUCCCCGCGUUGCCUGAACACUUUGAGCUUUGCCGAGUCAAUGGGCAGCGCAGCAUAAUAGUGUUGGAGGAGCAGUGCCCAAGGGACAUACAUGCCCAGAAUGCCCUAGGGCGCUCUUGUCUCUACCUACGCCCCAAGGAUGUUAUGUCAAACCCCUCCAUACCAGUGGAACAAACACCAGCUGCACCACCAAUUGCAGUUGGGACAACUUCUCCUGCUCCAUCUCCACCAAUCCACACCUC